Molecule: long non-coding RNA, 1535 nt
Filed under: Homo sapiens (human)
Lineage: Eukaryota; Metazoa; Chordata; Mammalia; Primates; Hominidae
Description: HSALNT0399978
Source: RNAcentral
CUGGGCCAAGUUCAGGGCUGGUGCUCUCGUUCAGAUAGAUUUAGCUGGUGGUGCAGAGAUCCGUGAGCUUGCUUUUACAGGACUUUAAUGAUAUAUAAAAGCAGCACGAGGUGCUCCUGACUGUGGAUUAAUUUGGAGAUGACUUUCUCUGUUGAAGAGUAGCAAGACUCUCGCGAGUUCUUAAAAAUGCACUUGUUUGGUAUGAGAAUGAAAAGCAGUGGCUGAAGAACCAAUCUUCAAUGGGCAAGCCUUCUCUGAACUGGUUGCUGCCUCGUUGAGUCGGUGGGGACAGAAUAGCUCCUGGUUGACAGCAUGGGUUGUGCAGAAGGACGGAUCCUGCAGACAUCAAUAUCUGGCUUUGAGUGGCACAAAGAAAUAAAGGAAUGUGGAUUCAGACCUCACUGGGAUGCUUGGCAAUUCUAAUUCUACCCCAGACUGCAAAUGGACACACAACUGUUGUGACUUUUGUUGAAGAGGAGAAGGAUGGUGAAGGUCUCUUUAGUCAAUAAUCUCUUUGCUGAAAUUGCUUCGGGCAGCACAGAAGCUGGAUUCAGAAGCACACAGGUCUGGGGAUGCAGGCUUCGGCCAGCCUGAUGCAAGGAAAGACUGCCAUCUCGUGGUCAGCUCAAUCCUGGCACCUUGGUGAGGGACCAGGCUGCAGAAAACCAGGCUUGGGGAGGAAACGGUGCUGCAAACUGGAUUUCUGCCGGACAGUGUGGAUGCCCUUAGAAAACACCCAGAAAAGAGCUGAGUGCCCCCCAAGACUUGCCCUGAAUUCUUUCAUGUGCAAUAUCCGAAAACCCUCUCUUGGGGCCUGGAUCAGGACCCCUUUCCUAUAACAUCUUUCUGGCGACAACAAAGGGACAAUGGUGUGGAAUCCCCCUUCCCAAAUGCUACUUUUAGAUAUCACCUUUUGUCGGAACUUGGAGUUGGUAAUGACCUUCACCAUACCACCACUCUGGGACUGAGCUUCUCUCUACCCUGAUGCAAGAGACCCUAAUAGGCAGGAAUAUGACCACCCCUAUUCAGCCUGAAGAAGUUACAGAAGUUCUGAAACCCUUAGAAAUGAGGGUCUUCUUGUAAAGGGAGUGGGGAGAUAUAUCAGAGGCAUUUGAACCAGAGCAACUCCAUCUUGAGUGAGGGCUAGGAAAAUGAGGCUAGGACUUGCUGGGCUGCAUUCUCAGAAAGUCAGUCAUUCCUAGCCUCUAGAUGUUUACGGUUAAGGGAACAAAUUUAUAACAUUUACUAAACACACCCAGACUUGGGAGUGUCCAGAUAUCCCAAUAUCUGGAGAACAAAGGCAUUCCUAAUUUUGCUUUAAAGACAAUAAUAUUGAUUCUUGCAAAAUAUAGUAAUUAAGAAAAUUAAUCCUUUAUCACAAACCCUUGUAGUAAAACACAUCUCCCCAUAUAUACAAGCAUUGUACCUAAGGUGGAUGCGUUCCAUCUCUUACUUUCAGGAAUGUCCUACACUAUCUAAGGAGUAGCUGUACUUUCACCACUUUACUUUCUUAAUAAACUUGUUUUUACUUUGCA